Molecule: long non-coding RNA, 1849 nt
Organism: Apteryx haastii (Great spotted kiwi)
Lineage: Eukaryota; Metazoa; Chordata; Aves; Apterygiformes; Apterygidae
Source: Ensembl
UCCCAUCCCUGACGUCAUCAACGUCCCCAUCACAUCCCCGAUGUCCCCAACGUCCCCAUCCCAUCUCCAACAUCACCAGCGUCCCACCCCGUCCCCCAUGUCCCAUCCUGUCCCCAAUGACCCCACCACGUCCCCGAUGUCCCCAUGCCCAGGAAUGUCCUCGACAUCCCACCCCGUCCCCGAUGUCCCCACCUCCGUCCCGUCCCGUCCCGUCCCGUCCCCGCGCGUGGGCAGGGACCGGCCCUGCCGGCUCGGCCGGCGCCGCGACACGUGGGGACACGUGGGGACACGCGGGGACAUGCAGGGACACACGUGGGGACACGCGGGGACGCGGCUGAGCCUGGUGCAACCACUUUAUUGGGACACGUGAGACGGAGACCGCUGGAGAGGGGCCCAGGCGUCCGGGAGGGGCCCAGGCAUCCGGGAAGGGCCCAGGCGUCCGGGAUGGGGCCCAGGCAUCCGGCCCUUCUCCCACCCCCACCAGCCCCUACUUCUCGCAGCCGCCGCAGCUGGACUGGCCGGAUCCGGAUCCCGUCCCGGAUCCAGAUCCCGUUGCAGGGCGAGAUCCAGAUCCGGAUCCCAUCCCGGAGCCAUAGGUGGUCCCAGAUCCUGUCCCGGAUCCAUAGGUGGUCCCGGAUCCUGUCCCGGAGCUGUAGGUGGUCCCGGAUCCCACCCCGGAGCUGUAGGCGCCGGAUCCGCUGCCGGAUGUGGCAGGGGAUCCCCCCGCGGGGCCGCGCCGCACUGGGAUGCGGCCCCCGAUCCGGGCUGGAUCCCACAGCCCCGGCACGAAGGGGAUCCCGGGAUUCUUGUACACCGGGCGCCGGAAACCCCCCGAUCCUCCGUAGGAUCCCGAUCCGCCCCCGUAGGAUCCUGAUCCCCCAUAGGAUCCUGAGCUGCCCCCAUAGGAUCCAGAUCCUCCGUAGGAUCCCGAAUUGUCCCCGUAGGAUGCCGGCAGCCUGUAGGAUCCCGAGCUGCCUCCGUAGGAUCCCGAUCCCCCAUAGGAUCCCGAUCCGCUUCCCCCUUGGGAUCCGGGUCUGCCCGAUCCUGAUCCGCUGCUUCCCUGGGAUCCGGGUCUCCCUGAUCCGGAUCCGCUUCCCCCUUGGGAUCCGGGUCUCCCCAGCCCAGGUCUGCCUGAUCCGGAUCCGCUUCCAUAGGAUCCCCCGUAGGAUCCCGUCCCAUCACCAUAAGCUACGGAUCCGCUUCCCCCUUGGGAGCCGGGUCUGCCCGACCCGGAUCCACCUCCAUAGGAUCCAGAACCGGAUCCCCCCUGGGACCCGGAUCCCCCAUAAGAUCCCGAUCCGCUGCCUCCUUGGGAUCCGCUUCCCCAGUGGAAUCCGGGUCUCCCCGAGCCAGAUCCGCUUCCAUAAGAUCCGGAACUGGAUCCCCCGUGGGAUCCCAAUCUGCCUCCGUAGGAUCCCAAGGACCCAUCGGGUGCUGCUGCUCCAGCUCCGUAGGAUCCCGGGGGCCCAUAGGAUCCUACUCCACUCCCAUAGGAUCCCGCUGAUCCCCCUCCGUAGGAUCCCAAGCCGGUUCCGUAAGAUCCCGAAUCACUUCCAUAGGAUCCCGAUGAGCCGUAGGAUCCUGAAUUGCUUCCAUAGGAUCCCGAUCCGCCUCCGUAGGAUCCUGAUGGUCCAUAGGAUUCCGAUCCACCUCCGUAGGAUCCCGACGAUCCAUAGGACCCCGAUCCGCUUCCGUAGGAUCCCGAGCUCCCCCCGCCCAUCUGGGGGCCCCCCGGUUCGCAGCGGCAGGUGGCGCCUGGGGGGAAAGGGGGUGUCAGGGGCGCCCGGACGCCUGGGCCCCUCGGGGUGGGGUCGCCCGGACACCUGGGCCCCUUGUGGAUCUGGGGGGG